RNAcentral lists this long non-coding RNA (360 nucleotides) under Brassica napus (rape). RNAcentral's name for it is "long non-coding RNA (BNAP_LNC021337)". Lineage: Eukaryota; Viridiplantae; Streptophyta; Magnoliopsida; Brassicales; Brassicaceae. The record is from RNAcentral.
AUCUUUUGCCACACGCAUGUAUUUAGACAACGACAUCUACAUAUGGAAUAAUGUGGAAUUACAAAAUGUCAUAAUAUCAUGUCAUAGUAUCAUGUUAUCUUACGUGGGCAACUAUCAAACAUUCAAAAAAUAAAUUAAAACCCUAUGUCUCCUUCUAACCAGAUAAAGAUAAGACAUGGGCUAUAUAUAUAUAUUAUUUUUAUUUUUUUGAACAUAAGACAUGGGCUAUAUUUUUGAAGCCUACUAAACUUGUAUAACCACUGUACUCUAAUUAGUAAAUCCUAAACUCAAAUAUAAACCAUAAAUCUUAAAUCCAAAUAUAAACCAUAAACCAUAAAACCAAGUAUAAUUAUUAAACCC